This 489-nucleotide ribosomal RNA is filed under the name uncultured bacterium. RNAcentral's name for it is "partial 16S ribosomal RNA". It matches the Rfam family "Bacterial small subunit ribosomal RNA", at positions 28 to 506 of the family's 1533-position model. The record is from RNAcentral.
GAUGAACGCUAGCUACAGGCUUAACACAUGCAAGUCGAGGGGCAGCAUGGUCUUAGCUUGCUAAGGCCGAUGGCGACCGGCGCACGGGUGAGUAACACGUAUCCAACCUGCCGUCUACUCUUGGACAGCCUUCUGAAAGGAAGAUUAAUACAAGAUGGCAUCAUGAGUCCGCAUGUUCACAUGAUUAAAGGUAUUCCGGUAGACGAUGGGGAUGCGUUCCAUUAGAUAGUAGGCGGGGUAACGGCCCACCUAGUCUUCGAUGGAUAGGGGUUCUGAGAGGAAGGUCCCCCACAUUGGAACUGAGACACGGUCCAAACUCCUACGGGAGGCAGCAGUGAGGAAUAUUGGUCAAUGGGCGAGAGCCUGAACCAGCCAAGUAGCGUGAAGGAUGACUGCCCUAUGGGUUGUAAACUUCUUUUAUAAAGGAAUAAAGUCGGGUAUGGAUACCCGUUUGCAUGUACUUUAUGAAUAAGGAUCGGCUAACUCCGU